AGUGGCAGACGGGUGAGUAACAUGUGGGUAUCUACCCUUUGGCCUGGAAUAACACGAGGAAACUUGUGCUAAUACCGGAUAAGUCUUUACGGAGAAAGCUUUAUGCACCAUUGGAUGAGCCCGCACUUGAUUAGUUUGUUGGUAGGGUAAUGGCCUACCAAGACUAUGAUCAAUAGCUGAUUUGAGAGGAUGAUCAGCCACAUUGGGACUGAGACACGGCCCAAACUCCUACGGGAGGCAGCAGUGGGGAAUCUUGCACAAUGGAGGAAACUCUGAUGCAGCGAUGCCGCGUGAGUGAAGAAGGCCUUUGGGUUGUAAAGCUCUUUCGUCGGGGAAGAAAAUGACUGUACCCGAAUAAGAAGGUCCGGCUAACUUCGUGCCAGCAGCCGCGGUAAUACGAAGGGACCUAGCGUAGUUCGGAAUUACUGGGCUUAAAGAGUUCGUAGGUGGUUGAAAAAGUUGGUGGUGAAAUCCCAGAGCUUAACUCUGGAACUGCCAUCAAAACUUUUCAGCUAGAGUAUGAUAGAGGAAAGCAGAAUUUCUAGUGUAGAGGUGAAAUUCGUAGAUAUUAGAAAGAAUACCAAUUGCGAACGCAGCUUUCUGGAUCAUUACUGACACUGAGACGAAAGCAUGGGUAGCGAGAGGAUUAGAUACCCUCGUAGUCAAUGCCGA
RNAcentral lists this ribosomal RNA (672 nucleotides) under uncultured bacterium. RNAcentral's name for it is "bacterial SSU rRNA". It matches the Rfam family "Bacterial small subunit ribosomal RNA", at positions 94 to 803 of the family's 1533-position model. The record is from RNAcentral.